This is a non-coding RNA of Agrilus planipennis (emerald ash borer), 198 nucleotides long. NCBI's taxonomy places the organism in Eukaryota, Metazoa, Arthropoda, Insecta, Coleoptera, Buprestidae. The record is from Rfam.
ACGGGGUAUCUCCCUCAUUAUUAAAGAUAUAAGGUUGCGGUUUUCGCGAUAGCUGUGACUGAAGAGGACCUUAAUGAUCCUAUAACGGCCUGAGGUAGAGGGGUUUUAGUCGGUAGGUUCGAGGACUUCUUCCUCGGGAAUCCCACACUACCCAGUCGUACAGUUGGCUGGGUGUCUUUUGAAGAUUUCCCCUUUUCC